CACCAUGUUUUUAACAAGCAGUCAUCCUCUCCCAGCACUCCAUAUUUACAGAUAAAGAAAGCACAAACUAACAAGAGCCAGACAUCACAAAACCUGACCAACAAGUGGCAGUUGCUUAUUACUCUAGCUAGGGUAAUUACCUAGAAACAUGAACCACAAAACUGAAGUCUAGUGUAGAGACAGUAGUAGCAGAGCAGGGCCAUAAUCAUAUACAGUAAUUAAUCUCUCUGUAGUGUGGUGGUAAUUUUUGGUGUCUGUCCUAGAUGAUGAAGAUGAUUUUAAGCNNNNN
Molecule: long non-coding RNA, 289 nt
Filed under: Hordeum vulgare
Lineage: Eukaryota; Viridiplantae; Streptophyta; Magnoliopsida; Poales; Poaceae
Description: long non-coding RNA (HVUL_LNC001495)
Source: RNAcentral